GACGAACGCUGGCGGCGUGCUUAACACAUGCCAGUCGAACGGAAAGGCCCUGCUUUUGUGGGGUGCUCGAGUGGCGAACGGGUGAGUAACACGUGAGUAACCUGCCCUUGACUUUGGGAUAACUUCAGGAAACUGGGGCUAAUACCGGUUAGGAGCUCCUGCUGCAUGGUGGGGGUUGGAAAGUUUCGGCGGUUGGGGAUGGACUCGCGGCUUAUCAGCUUGGUGGUGGGGUAGUGGCUUACCAAGGCUUUGCCGGGUAGCCGGCCUGAGAGGGUGACCGGCCACAUUGGGACUGAGAUACGGCCCAGACUCCUACGGGAGGCAGCAGUGGGGAAUAUUGCACAAUGGGCGGAAGCCUGAUGCAGCAACGCCGCGUGCGGGAUGACGGCCUUCGGGUUGUAAACCGCUUUCGCCUGUGACGAAGCGUGAGUGACGGUAAUGGGUAAAGAAGCACCGGCUAACUACGUG
RNAcentral lists this ribosomal RNA (468 nucleotides) under uncultured bacterium. RNAcentral's name for it is "partial 16S ribosomal RNA". It matches the Rfam family "Bacterial small subunit ribosomal RNA", at positions 28 to 507 of the family's 1533-position model. The record is from RNAcentral.